RNAcentral lists this ribosomal RNA (1963 nucleotides) under human gut metagenome. RNAcentral describes it as "bacterial LSU rRNA". It matches the Rfam family "Bacterial large subunit ribosomal RNA", at positions 1 to 1974 of the family's 2925-position model. The record is from RNAcentral.
GAAAGUAAAAAAGGGCGCAUGGCGGAUGCCUUGGCUCUCGGAGGCGAUGAAGGACGUGAUAAGCUGCGAUAAGCUUUGGGGAGGUGCAAAUGACCUUUGAUCCAGAGAUUUCCGAAUGGGACAACCCAAUAUCUUGAAGAGGUAUUAUCCAACGUUGUUGGAGGCUAACGCAGGGAACUGAAACAUCUUAGUACCUGCAGGAAAAGAAAAUAAACAAUGAUUCCCCCAGUAGUGGCGAGCGAACGGGGAACAGCCCAAACCAUCCAUGUUACGGCAUGGGUGGGGUUGUAGGACUACGCCGUUGCAUGAAGACAUCAGAGAAGAACUUUCUGGAAAGAAAGACCAUAGAGCAUGACAGUUGCGUAUUCGAAUGUUGUCGAAGCAUAGUAGUAUCCUGAGUAGCGCGGAGCACGAGGAAUUCUGCGUGAAUCUGCCGGGACCAUCCGGUAAGGCUAAAUACUCCCGAGAGACCGAUAGCGAACCAGUACCGUGAGGGAAAGGUGAAAAGCACUUCGAACAGAAGAGUGAAAUAGUUCCUGAAACCGUGCGCCUACAAGCGGUCGGAGCUCGUUAAUGAGUGACGGCGUGCCUUUUGCAUAAUGAACCUACGAGUUGCCUUUGCCGGCAAGGUUAAGUGUGACGACACACGUAUCCGAAGCGAAAGCGAGUCUGAACAGGGCGUAUAGUCGGCAGUGGCAGACGCGAAACCAAGUGAUCUACCCUUGGCCAGGUUGAAGGCUGGGUAACACCAGCUGGAGGACCGCACCAAUAAGCGUUGAAAAGCUUCUGGAUGAGCUGAGGGUAGGGGUGAAAGGCUAAUCAAACUUGGAGAUAGCUCGUACUCCCCGAAAUGCAUUUAGGUGCAGCCUUGUGGGUUACUGAUGUGAGGUAGAGCGACUGAUAAGAUGCGAGGGCUUCACCGCCUAUCAAGUCUUGACAAACUCCGAAUGCGCAUCAGUUUUACCUCAGGAGUGAGGGCAUGGGUGCUAAGGUCCGUGCCCGAGAGGAGAAGAAUCCGGACCACCUGCUAAGGUCCCGAAAUGACAGCUAAGUUAAACUAACGAAGUCUGACUGCUAAGACAGCUAGGAUGUUGGCUUGGAAGCAGCCAUUCAUUUAAAGAGUGCGUAACAGCUCACUAGUCGAGGAGUCUGGCGUGGAUAAUAAUCGGGUAUUAAGUUGUCUACCGAAGCAGUGGGAUCAUUGAAAUGAUCGGUAGGGGAGCAUUCCAGUCAGCGUCGAAGGCGUACCGCGAGGUAUUCUGGAGCGUCUGGAAAAGCAAAUGUAGGUAUAAGUAACGAUAAAGGGGGCGGGAAACCCCCUCGCCGAAAGACUAAGGUUUCCUGAUCAACGCUAAUCGGAUCAGGGUAAGUCGGGUCCUAAGGCUCAGCCGAAGGGCGAUGCCGAUGGCAGAAACGGUUAAUAUUCCGUUACUACCUCCAGGAGUGAUGUGGAGACGCAGUAGUGACAAUGCCGCCAUCUGACGGAAUAGAUGGUUGAAGGGUGUAGAUGUUGAUCUUGGCAGGCAAAUCCACCAUGAGAAUCGAACCUGAUAGUAUGCCGCGUCCCUCGGGACAAGGCAAUAGUGCAUGUAAUCAUGCUGCCAAGAAAAUCCGCUAAACAAAAUCCUGUAGGUACCCGUACCGUAAACGGACACACGUAGUCGGGAUGAAUAUUCUAAGGCGCUUGAGUGAUUCACGGUUAAGGAACUAGGCAAACUGACCCUGUAACUUCGGGAUAAAGGGUCCCUACCCGGUGACGGGAGGGCGCAGAGAAUAGGUCCAGGCAACUGUUUAACAAAAACACAGGGCUGUGCUAAAUCGAAAGAUCCUGUAUACAGCCUGACACCUGCCCGGUGCUGGAAGGUUAAGAGGAGACGUCAUCGUUGAGAGAAGCGUUGAAUUGAAGCCCCAGUAAACGGCGGCCGUAACUAUAACGGUCCUAAGGUAGCGAAAUUCCUUGUCG